This 499-nucleotide ribosomal RNA is filed under the name Vibrio sp. Its description in RNAcentral is "bacterial SSU rRNA". It matches the Rfam family "Bacterial small subunit ribosomal RNA", at positions 69 to 563 of the family's 1533-position model. Lineage: Bacteria; Pseudomonadati; Pseudomonadota; Gammaproteobacteria; Vibrionales; Vibrionaceae. The record is from RNAcentral.
ACCUUCGGGGGAUUUGUUGGGCGGCGAGCGGCGGACGGGUGAGUAAUGCCUAGGAAAUUGCCCUGAUGUGGGGGAUAACCAUUGGAAACGAUGGCUAAUACCGCAUGAUGCCUACGGGCCAAAGAGGGGGACCUUCGGGCCUCUCGCGUCAGGAUAUGCCUAGGUGGGAUUAGCUAGUUGGUGAGGUAAGGGCUCACCAAGGCGACGAUCCCUAGCUGGUCUGAGAGGAUGAUCAGCCACACUGGAACUGAGACACGGUCCAGACUCCUACGGGAGGCAGCAGUGGGGAAUAUUGCACAAUGGGCGCAAGCCUGAUGCAGCCAUGCCGCGUGUAUGAAGAAGGCCUUCGGGUUGUAAAGUACUUUCAGUCGUGAGGAAGGUUCAUGCGUUAAUAGCGUAUGGAUUUGACGUUAGCGACAGAAGAAGCACCGGCUAACUCCGUGCCAGCAGCCGCGGUAAUACGGAGGGUGCGAGCGUUAAUCGGAAUUACUGGGCGUAA